Molecule: long non-coding RNA, 2639 nt
Organism: Folsomia candida
Lineage: Eukaryota; Metazoa; Arthropoda; Collembola; Entomobryomorpha; Isotomidae
Exons: 3
Source: RefSeq, a predicted model, not a curated record
AACACGAUAUAAAUCGUUCCAUAUUUAACAUGCCUACAAGUUGCUUAUUACAAUUCAGCUGAAUAAAUUGACAAACCAUAAUAAAAUUUAAAUUAACUCUUAAUUCAAUGGAAAUAGUAACCGUAUCAUUCCUAUCCCCCAGUUUCUUGUAUACAUCUAAGACAAUAGACAGAUUUUGUGGCAACACAUUUUUCUUUCGAGGCGAUGACAAAGAAACUGGAGAAUUGUGCCAAAUUCAAAUAAUCUUGGUUAAUGAAAAAUUUGUAAAAUAUGGCCCUAAAUUCAUCUCUAAAUGCGAAUCGCUACUUGGAAAACAACAUCCAAACGUGGCUCAAGUGUUGGAAGUGCGCUUAUUAAAGCUUGCACCGUCUGACUUUCAAGAAUUGAUGGAACGGAACUGGGAAUUUAAGGAAAGUUUGAAUAUUUACGAAAUUAAUUUUUGGCAAUUUUAAUUCAAGAACUUUUUGGUGAAAUAUUAUUGUCACCCAAAAAUAAAUAGUUUUAAAAUUUCAUAACCAAUAUUACUUGAGGGGAACACUUGAUCUAUAUCUUCCUAUAUUUUUAAAGACUAUUUCACAAAUCAUACUGGUAAACAACAUUUUUUACGAGAGUUGGAAUACUUGUGAAAUUAGGUUUUUUUUAUUCCGUAAAAUUUGGAUGUGAAAACUAUCUUUAAAUUUUUCCCAAAACGUUAAUACAUAAUUUCCCUCACUAUUAAUUCACAGAUGGUAGUAAUUUAUCUCUAAUUUUCAAAGUCAUUGUGGAAACUGUAGGGAUAAUUGUCCAAAUAAUUUUGUGUCAACCUUAUUGGAAUUAUUUUGGCUAAGAAAUUUCGACGUUGAGAAAUCGUUGAUUAUUUUGUGAUGUUAUUAUUGAGAAUCGGAUAAUAAUAAAUAGAUUGUAUUUAUCUGAUGUACCCAGUCCCAGUCGAAGCCAUUCCAAACUUUGGGUUCACAAACCUUUCUUUCCUUAACGGAUUCUUCGUCCAGCAUAGUGGUCUCAACGGUUCCCGGUUCUCUCGGAACCGAACCCGAUCCGGACACGGAUCCGCUCUACGGUUCGGUUCUGUUUAUGCGAAGAACCGAACCGAACCGAAACUUUCGUAAACGGUUCUGUCCCGGUUCCAAGUUUUUGUAGACCGAACCGAACCGAACGGUUCCGGGCGGACUCGAUUUUUUCUCGAUUUACGGGGUAUAAUGAAUCAAGUGCUUGCGAACUUAUUCAAAACUUUACAAAUCAAAACAAAAAUCUUCUCGAAGUUUGGUCGUUAUUCCUACCAUAACAUCAUAGCGGAAUUAAAUUGUCAUAAAGAUGAGCCAUGCUGAAACCGAUGUUGAGGAAUUCUCUCAGGAUGAUCUUCCUUUGGACAGUCCGCCCAGUGACAGUUCACAGCCUUCAAGAAAACGCAGGUCACCGGUGUAUUUACAUUUUGAUUUCGACCAAGAAUCGUCGUCUUUUAAUUGCAAGUACUGCAGCAGGUCAUACCAAAAACAAAAAGAUGGAUCAACCAGCGUAUUAUGGAAACAUAUUCGGGUGAUGCAUUCAGGUGUUAUUGGAACUAAUCAAAAUCAGGCGGCAGUGAACGGAUUAUUAAACCCAGUUGAACCUGAGCCAUUUACAACCGAGGGGCUACGGAGCAGAAUUGUUGAGUUUAUAGUUGUUGAAAGCCAGUCUUUCCAGCUCGUAGAAAAACCAGCUUUUCAAAAUCUUUUGAAGUACUGUAACCGUGCCGCAGAAUUUACAUGUGCCAACACGGUAUGUGUUAUCGGUUGUCGGAAUCACCCCCGUCGGUUGUCGGAAAUCACCUCGGUUGUCACCCUCGAGCAGUUGUCAGAUAUCAGAUAUCGGAAUUAUCGGUUAUCACCCUUAUCGGUUGUCACCCUAGCAGUUAUCGGAAUGCCCAUUUAUUUUUAAACCCCCCCGGCCCCCCUCCCAAAUUCUCAGGGUACCCCAAACACCGUCUCCCGUUGCCCCAAAUUUCCCCGACCACCCCCAAAUACCGUCUCACGUUACCCCAAAUGUCCUUGAUCACCCCCAAUCACCAUCUCACGUUACCCCAAAUGUCCUUGAUCACCCGCAAUCACCGUCUCACGUUGCCCCAAAUGUCCCCGACCAUCCCCAAACACCGUCUCAAGUUACCCCAAAUGUCCCCGACCAUCCCCAAACACCGUCUCACGUUAGCCCAAAUGUCCCCGAUCACCCCCAAACACCGUCUCACGUUGCCCCAAAUGUCCCCGACCAUCCCCAAACACCGUCUCAAGUUACCCCAAAUGUCCCCGAUCACCCCCAAACAGCGCCUCACGUUACCCCAAAUGUCCCCGAUCACCCCCAAACACCGUCUCAAGUUACCCCAAAUGUCCCCGAUCACCCCCAAACCCCAUCUCACGUUACCCCAAAUGUCCCCGAUCACCCCCAAACACCGUCUCACGUUACCCCAAAUGUUUCGGACGACCCCCAAACCCCGUCUCAUAAGGUUAGACUUAGGUGAGUUUUAAGUAGUAUAUGCUAUGUUAUCUAAUUGACCCCAAGUUUGAACUUGGCAUAUGUGCAGUGGACUGCAGCUGCUUACUAAACUCAUUUAUAAAGGAUUCACAUGUAUUGUCAUAUGAAAAAUUAUAAGUAAAGCACUUGAAAAACUA